RNAcentral lists this ribosomal RNA (464 nucleotides) under uncultured bacterium. Its description in RNAcentral is "partial 16S ribosomal RNA". It matches the Rfam family "Bacterial small subunit ribosomal RNA", at positions 28 to 507 of the family's 1533-position model. The record is from RNAcentral.
GACGAACGCUGGCGGCGUGCUUAACACAUGCAAGUCGAACGGUAAGGCCCCAGCUUGCUGGGGUACACGAGUGGCGAACGGGUGAGUAACACGUGGGUGACCUGCCCCGCACUUCGGGAUAAGCCUGGGAAACUGGGUCUAAUACCGGAUAGGACCGCACCGUGAGGGUGUGGUGGAAAGUUUUUCGGUGUGGGAUGGGCCCGCGGCCUAUCAGCUUGUUGGUGGGGUAAUGGCCUACCAAGGCGGCGACGGGUAGCCGGCCUGAGAGGGUGGACGGCCACAUUGGGACUGAGACACGGCCCAGACUCCUACGGGAGGCAGCAGUGGGGAAUAUUGCACAAUGGGCGGAAGCCUGAUGCAGCGACGCCGCGUGGGGGAUGACGGCCUUCGGGUUGUAAACUCCUUUCACCAUCGACGAAGGUUUUCCGACGGUAGAUGGAGAAGAAGCACCGGCUAACUACGUG